Molecule: ribosomal RNA, 253 nt
Filed under: uncultured bacterium
Lineage: Bacteria
Description: partial 16S ribosomal RNA
Rfam family: Bacterial small subunit ribosomal RNA
Source: RNAcentral
UACGGGGGGGGCAAGCGUUGUUCGGAAUUACUGGGCGUAAAGGGCUCGUAGGUGGCCAACUAAGUCAUACGUGAAAUCCCUCGGCUUAACCGGGGAACUGCGUCUGAUACUGGAUGGCUUGAGGUUGGGAGAGGGAUGCGGAAUUCCAGGUGUAGCGGUGAAAUGCGUAGAUAUCUGGAGGAAUACCGGUGGCGAAGGCGGCAUCCUGGACCAACACUGACACUGAGGAGCGAAAGCCAGGGGAGCAAACGGG